CACACGUCAUACAAUGGCGUGACAAGGGUUGCCAACCCGCGAGGGGGAGCCAAUCCCAUAAAGCCAGUCGUAGUCCGGAUCGCAGUCUGCAACUCGACUGCGUGAAGUCGGAAUCGCUAGUAAUCGUGGAUCAGCAUGUCACGGUGAAUACGUUCCCGGGCCUU
This 164-nucleotide ribosomal RNA is filed under the name uncultured Comamonas sp. RNAcentral's name for it is "partial 16S ribosomal RNA". It matches the Rfam family "Bacterial small subunit ribosomal RNA", at positions 1217 to 1382 of the family's 1533-position model. Lineage: Bacteria; Pseudomonadati; Pseudomonadota; Betaproteobacteria; Burkholderiales; Comamonadaceae. The record is from RNAcentral.